GACGAACGCUGGCGGCGUGCCUAAUACAUGCAAGUCGAACGCUUCUUUACUCCCGAGUGCUUGCUAUCAAUUGGAAAGAGGAGUGGCGGACGGGUGAGUAACAAGUGUGUAACUUAGUCAUCAGUGGGGGAUAAAACUUGGAAAUAGGAGCUAAUACCGCCUAACAGUUUAUGCAGCAUGGCUUCAGAGUGAACGGCGCUUACGGGUGUCGCUGCUGGUUGGCCAGGUGGUGGAUUAGCUAGUUGGCGAGGUAACGGCCCACCAAGGCCACGAUGCGUAGCUGACCUGAGAGGGUGAUCGGCCACACUGGGACUGAGACACGGCCCAGACUCCUACGGGAGGCAGCAGUAGGGAAUCUUCGGCAAAGGGCGAAAGUCUGACCGAGCAACGCCGCGUGAGUGAAGAAGGUCUUCGGAUCGUAAAGCUCUUUUGUUAGAGAAGAACAGCAGCAUGAGUAACUGAACGUCUCCUGACGGUAUCUAAACAGAAAGCCACGGCUAACUACGUG
This 508-nucleotide ribosomal RNA is filed under the name uncultured bacterium. RNAcentral describes it as "partial 16S ribosomal RNA". It matches the Rfam family "Bacterial small subunit ribosomal RNA", at positions 28 to 507 of the family's 1533-position model. The record is from RNAcentral.